CUGGCGGCGUGGUUAGACAUGCAAGUCGAACGAGAAGCUCCCUUCGGGGGAGUGGAGAGUGGCGCACGGGUGAGUAACACGUGAGCAACCUGCCGGGAAGCCCGGGAUAGCCCUCCGAAAGGAGGAUUAAUACCGGAUGUGGCCACCCUGCGAUUGCAGGGGAAGCUAAAGGAUUAUUCACUUCCCGAGGGGCUCGCGGUCCAUCAGCUUGUUGGUGAGGGUAACGGCCCACCAAGGCGACAACGGGUAGCUGGUCUGAGAGGAUGGUCAGCCACACUGGAACUGAGACACGGUCCAGACACCUACGGGUGGCAGCAGUCGAGAAUCAUUCGCAAUGGGGGAAACCCUGACGAUGCGACGCCGCGUGGAGGAUGAAGGCCUUAGGGUUGUAAACUCCUGUCAAGAGGGAAUAAGCAAGUGAAGGUACCUCUAGAGGAAGGGGCGGCUAAUUCCGUGCCAGCAGCCGCGGUAACACGGAAGCCCCGAGCGUUGUUCGGAUUCAUUGGGCGUAAAGGGUGCGUAGGCGGCGCGGAAAGUCCGGCGUGAAAGGCAGAGGCUCAACCUCUGGACUGCGUUGGAUACUUCCGUGCUUGAAGACUGGAGGGGAGACUGGAAUUCACGGUGUAGCAGCGAAAUGCGUAGAUAUCGUGAGGAAGACCGGUGGCGAAGGCGAGUCUCUGGACAGAUCCUGACGCUGAGGCACGAAGGCUGAGGGAGCGAACAGGAUUAGAUACCCUGGUAGUCCCAGCAGUAAACGAUGUGAGCUUGAUGUGAGGGGAUACGACCCCUUACGUGUCGAAGCUAACGCGAUAAGCUCACCGCAUGAGGAGUACGCCCGCAAGGCUAAUACUCAAAGAUAUUGACGGCGACCCGCACAAGCGUUGGAGUAUGUGGCUUAAUUCGAUGCAACGCGAAGAACCCUACGUGGCGAUGACAUGCAUUGUGUCGUCGGUGAAAGCCGGCUAGUCCUGGAUACAGGACGCUUUGCACAUGUGCUGCAUGGCUGUCGUCAGCUCGUGUCGUGAG
RNAcentral lists this ribosomal RNA (1026 nucleotides) under uncultured organism. RNAcentral describes it as "bacterial SSU rRNA". It matches the Rfam family "Bacterial small subunit ribosomal RNA", at positions 36 to 1071 of the family's 1533-position model. The record is from RNAcentral.